Molecule: ribosomal RNA, 268 nt
Filed under: uncultured bacterium
Lineage: Bacteria
Description: partial 16S ribosomal RNA
Rfam family: Bacterial small subunit ribosomal RNA
Source: RNAcentral
UACGGAGGGUGCAAGCGUUAAUCGGAAUUACUGGGCGUAAAGCGUGCGUAGGCGGUUCGUUAAGUCUGUUGUGAAAGCCCCGGGCUCAACCUGGGAAUGGCAAUGGAUACUGGCGAGCUAGAGUGUGUCAGAGGAUGGUGGAAUUCCCGGUGUAGCGGUGAAAUGCGUAGAGAUCGGGAGGAACAUCAGUGGCGAAGGCGGCCAUCUGGGACAACACGUGACGCUGAGGCACGAAAGCGUGGGGAGCAAACAGGAUUGAGAUACCCGU